This 44-nucleotide small RNA is filed under the name Arabidopsis thaliana (thale cress). Its description in RNAcentral is "ATSL021160". The record is from RNAcentral. Lineage: Eukaryota; Viridiplantae; Streptophyta; Magnoliopsida; Brassicales; Brassicaceae.
AAAAUAAAAAUAAAAAAACUCCGUUGCCGGGACUCGAACCCGGG